Molecule: long non-coding RNA, 326 nt
Filed under: Theobroma cacao (cacao)
Lineage: Eukaryota; Viridiplantae; Streptophyta; Magnoliopsida; Malvales; Malvaceae
Description: long non-coding RNA (TCAC_LNC004793)
Source: RNAcentral
UAUUUUGCAAGAAAAUAGUUUAUUUUAUUGAAUAUUUUUAUUAUAUUCAAAUGGUCAAAUUUUCACUUCAAAUGAACGUUUUAAAUACUUAAUUUUUUUAAAUCAUUAAAUAUAUAUUUUCGGCUUACCUACUACAUUUUUAGCAAGUUUCGAGGUUUUCAACAAAAAUGACGAAAAUGCCCCUGUGAGCCAAAAAAAAAUAUGUUAUGUUAUGAUUUGGAAAUGAUUUGUAAUCCUUCGUAUUUUGAUUAUUUGAUAACUAUUGCUCACCGGGGAAGUGCUAAAGCUGAUACGAGAGCCUUGCGAAGUUUCGAUCGACAUUCGGG